RNAcentral lists this ribosomal RNA (450 nucleotides) under uncultured bacterium. RNAcentral's name for it is "bacterial SSU rRNA". It matches the Rfam family "Bacterial small subunit ribosomal RNA", at positions 28 to 476 of the family's 1533-position model. The record is from RNAcentral.
GAUGAACGCUGGCGGCGUGCUUAACACAUGCAAGUCGAACGAAGCACUUUAUUUGAUUUCUUCGGAAUGAAGAUUUUGUGACUGAGUGGCGGACGGGUGAGUAACGCGUGGGUAACCUGCCUCAUACAGGGGGAUAACAGUUGGAAACGACUGCUAAUACCGCAUAAGCGCACAGGGUCACAUGACCUGGUGUGAAAAACUCCGGUGGUAUGAGAUGGACCCGCGUCUGAUUAGCCAGUUGGUGGGGUAACGGCCUACCAAAGCGACGAUCAGUAGCCGACCUGAGAGGGUGACCGGCCACAUUGGGACUGAGACACGGCCCAAACUCCUACGGGAGGCAGCAGUGGGGAAUAUUGCACAAUGGGGGAAACCCUGAUGCAGCGACGCCGCGUGAGCGAAGAAGUAUUUCGGUAUGUAAAGCUCUAUCAGCAGGGAAGAAGAAAUGACGGU